This 60-nucleotide transfer RNA is filed under the name Muntiacus sp. SUM2. RNAcentral's name for it is "tRNA-Ser". The record is from RNAcentral. Lineage: Eukaryota; Metazoa; Chordata; Mammalia; Artiodactyla; Cervidae.
GAAAANGUUCAUAGGAACUGCUAAUUCUUAUAACCCGUGUGUAAUAACACGGCUUUUNCG